UGCAGGUUGCCCCAAGACUGUGGUGUGC
This 28-nucleotide non-coding RNA is filed under the name Homo sapiens (human). The record is from RNAcentral. Lineage: Eukaryota; Metazoa; Chordata; Mammalia; Primates; Hominidae.